Non-coding RNA from Schizosaccharomyces pombe (fission yeast), 838 nucleotides. NCBI's taxonomy places the organism in Eukaryota, Fungi, Ascomycota, Schizosaccharomycetes, Schizosaccharomycetales, Schizosaccharomycetaceae. The record is from the annotation of a GenBank genome assembly.
AAGUUGUCUGACAAUUGCUUCUGUAAGGAUCGGACUACUAAGAACGGUCGCAGCUUGACGCGACCAGUUGCUUAAAGGAUGUAGUAUUAUUUUGUGUUUAUGUAAAAUGGAUAUCAAUUGUAGGAAGAAGUGAGGUACACAUAACUAAAGAACGACGUAUAUAUAUGUUGUAUACAGAGUGUAAACACAAUGAGUCAAAAUUUAAAACUGAAAAAAAAAUACAUAUCUGCAAACAUUUCCUCUUCAAUGCCUCAUGUAUGUGGAAAUUGAACAAUUAUCAACCUCGGCCAGCAUAGGCAUUGUAGAUGCCUCACUCUUACAAAUAAAAAGGCAAGAGAAAGAUAAAUGCUUUUUGGAGAGAAAGAACGUGAGGAAGAAAUCAACCAACACCUUUUCAUCACAGAUACCUUCUAGCAAUUGAACGGACCUUUAAAUCAAAAGCCUGAGAACGAAUAGGUUGGUUAGGUUGAUAGAAAGGACUCAUUAGAGUUUUGAUGUAUAAUUCGUGGAGCUCUUGGAAAAACAGUUUAAUGUUGUCAGCACUUUGGUUUUGGUGAAGAAGCAUAAACCUCAUAUCUAAAAAUAAUGAACAUUAGUAGUUGUCCAAAAGUCACCCCAGAUAUUUAAAGGGAACAAAACACUUACUAGAUGGCGUAACGUAAGCAGAUAUAUACAUUUCGUGAAAUUGAUCGAUGGUUUUCAUAUAACUAUACAAAAACAGAGUAUUAGCAAUGACUGCAAGAAACAAAAGAAAUCACAAAACGUACAAGGCAUUGCUAGUCCAUUGUAGCUGAUCCACAAUGUCUAAACUCGAAUGAACGAUAAAUUGAUUAAGAUG